This 66-nucleotide transfer RNA is filed under the name Perlodes sp. YZD-2018. RNAcentral describes it as "tRNA-Leu". Lineage: Eukaryota; Metazoa; Arthropoda; Insecta; Plecoptera; Perlodidae. The record is from RNAcentral. RNAcentral also lists the same sequence under 3 other names.
UCUAAUGUGGCAGAUUAGUGCAAUGGAUUUAAGCUCCAAACAUGAAAGGAAGUCUUUCCCUUAGAA